ACUCAAAUGAAUAGACGGGGACCCGCACAAGCGGUGGAACAUGUGGUUUAAUUCGAAGCAACGCGAAAAACCUUACCAGGACUUGACAUCUAAGGAACCUUAGUGAAAGCUAGGGGUGCCCUUCGGGGAGCCUUAAGACAGGUGGUGCACGGUUGUCGUCAGCUCGUGUCGUGAGAUGUUGGGUUAAGUCCCGCAACGAGCGCAACCCUCGUCGUUAGUUGGUCACUGUGGCAUGCUGCAGUGUAUCUCUCUAGCGAGACUGCCGGUGAUAAACCGGAGGAAGGUGAGGACGACGUCAAAUCAUCAUGCCCCUUAUGUUCUGGGCUACACACGUGUUACAAUGGCUAGUACAACGAGCAGCCAACUCGCGAGAGUGAGCAAAUCUCUUAAACCUAGUCUCAGUUCGGAUUGCACUCUGCAACUCGAGUGCAUGAAGUCGGAAUCGCUAGUAAACGCAGAUCAGCACGCUGCGUUGAAUACGUUCCCGGGUCUUGCACACACCGCCCGU
This 508-nucleotide ribosomal RNA is filed under the name uncultured bacterium. RNAcentral's name for it is "bacterial SSU rRNA". It matches the Rfam family "Bacterial small subunit ribosomal RNA", at positions 899 to 1397 of the family's 1533-position model. The record is from RNAcentral.